GAUGAACGCUGGCGGCGUGCUUAACACAUGCAAGUCGAACGAUGAUCUCCAGCUUGCUGGGGGGAUUAGUGGCGAACGGGUGAGUAACACGUGAGUAACCUGCCCUUGACUCUGGGAUAAGCCUGGGAAACUGGGUCUAAUACCGGAUAUGACUCCUCAUCGCAUGGUGGGGGGUGGAAAGCUUUUUGUGGUUUUGGAUGGACUCGCGGCCUAUCAGCUUGUUGGUGAGGUAAUGGCUUACCAAGGCGACGACGGGUAGCCGGCCUGAGAGGGUGACCGGCCACACUGGGACUGAGACACGGCCCAGACUCCUACGGGAGGCAGCAGUGGGGAAUAUUGCACAAUGGGCGAAAGCCUGAUGCAGCGACGCCGCGUGAGGGAUGACGGCCUUCGGGUUGUAAACCUCUUUCAGUAGGGAAGAAGCGAAAGUG
RNAcentral lists this ribosomal RNA (431 nucleotides) under uncultured bacterium. RNAcentral's name for it is "bacterial SSU rRNA". It matches the Rfam family "Bacterial small subunit ribosomal RNA", at positions 28 to 458 of the family's 1533-position model. The record is from RNAcentral.